This 73-nucleotide transfer RNA is filed under the name Octopus sinensis (East Asian common octopus). Its description in RNAcentral is "tRNA-Gln". It matches the Rfam family "tRNA". Rfam says of the family: Transfer RNA (tRNA) molecules are approximately 80 nucleotides in length. Lineage: Eukaryota; Metazoa; Mollusca; Cephalopoda; Octopoda; Octopodidae. The record is from RNAcentral.
GGAUUCUAUGGUGUAAUGGUUAGCACUCUGGACUCUGAAUCCAGCGAUCCGAGUUCAAGUCUCGGUAGAACCU